AUUCUGGCUCAGGAUGAACGCUAGCUACAGGCUUAACACAUGCAAGUCGAGGGGUAGCAGGGUAGCAAUACCGCUGACGACCGGCGCACGGGUGAGUAACACGUAUCCAACCUUCCCAUAACUCAGGGAUAGCCUUUCGAAAGAAAGAUUAAUACCUGAUAGUACUUUUUCAAGGCAUCUUGAGAAAGUUAAAGAUUUAUUGGUUAUGGAUGGGGAUGCGUUCCAUUAGAUAGUUGGUGAGGUAACGGCUCACCAAGUCUUCGAUGGAUAGGGGUUCUGAGAGGAAGGUCCCCCACAUUGGUACUGAGACACGGACCAAACUCCUACGGGAGGCAGCAGUGAGGAAUAUUGGUCAAUGGGCGAGAGCCUGAACCAGCCAAGUAGCGUGAAGGAAUGAAGGUCCUAUGGAUUGUAAACUUCUUUUAUAGUAGAAUAAAGUGAUCCACGUGUGGAUUUUUGUAUGUAUACUAUGAAUAAGGAUCGGCUAACUCCGUGCCAGCCGCCGC
RNAcentral lists this ribosomal RNA (506 nucleotides) under uncultured bacterium. RNAcentral's name for it is "bacterial SSU rRNA". It matches the Rfam family "Bacterial small subunit ribosomal RNA", at positions 16 to 518 of the family's 1533-position model. The record is from RNAcentral.